Molecule: long non-coding RNA, 828 nt
Filed under: Homo sapiens (human)
Lineage: Eukaryota; Metazoa; Chordata; Mammalia; Primates; Hominidae
Description: non-protein coding lnc-SOX5-5:22
Source: RNAcentral
ACACACACACAGAGUGAAAAAGGCGAGCCACCAAAACCCAUCUCCAGUCUCCUCCCGGGGGCCCCCAGCCCGCCUCUGUGCCACUUUGCAUCCCACGCCGGAGGAGGCAUUAACGAGACCGGGUAAGGUGCUGUGCUGGCCAUUGGUGACCCAAAGAUGAUGAAAAAUAUGUUCCUGCCCACAAGGAGUUAGCGACCUACUGGGCUUUCCUCUUGCUGAUGACAUGAUUCCUGUUUGAAUCUGUUGACAAGAUUCUGAAAGCUGAACAGAGAAUUCUGGCACUGCACUGGGUAGGAAAAAGCAUUUCAAGAAAUAGAUAAUAUCAAGGACAUCAGGACACCGGGAGUGGGAGAGAUUGGACUGGGAGACUCAGCAGUGAGGACGAUGUGUUACUUGUUAUGGAGUGACUCCAUUUGCCCAUGCAAAUAAGCACAAAGCCAGGAUAUUAUCAGGCAAUGGCAAAAUUAAGAGGGGGAAAACACGAUGCAGAAAAGAGGGUCUAUACCACUCAGGGUGGCAGAGAUUGAUGUUUGAAACUUCGUUGUGACAAAGAGGGAGCUGUGAACUUUCCUUUCUGAUUUUUAAUUUGAGGUAUGACAUUGACUUCUUUUUUGCCAUGUCCUAUAGACUGUUGACCGGUAGCUUAUUAUUACAGACUUCUAUCAGUUAUAAGGACUGUGAGGGACCCCUGCCAUAUUGUAUCCCUCUUUGAUAAUCAGGGCAUGAGUCACUGGCAUGAAUCAGUAGGUCCCUCUUCCUUGAAGGAGUUUUUGGAAGUAGAAGCAGCAGCAUUCCUGACUGAUGGGCCUGCUUGGCCUAAGUCUAAAU